GAUGAAGAACGCAGCGAAAUGCGAUAAGUAAUGUGAAUUGCAGAAUUCAGUGAAUCAUCGAAUCUUUGAACGCACAUUGCGCCCCUUGGUAUUCCGAGGGGCAUGCCUGUUCGAGCGUCAUUAUAACCCUCAAGCUCAGCUUGGUGUUGGGGCCUGCUGUACUGGCAGCCCUUAAAAUCAGUGGCGGCGCCAUCUGGCUCUAAGCGUAGUAAUUCUUCUCGCUAUGGAGUCCUGGUGGAUGCUUGCCAUCAACCCCCAAUUUUUCUAUGGUUGACCUCGGAUCAGGUAGGGAUACCCGCUGAACUUAAGCAUAUCAAUAAGCGGAGGA
This 328-nucleotide unclassified non-coding RNA is filed under the name soil metagenome. RNAcentral describes it as "partial contains 5.8S ribosomal RNA, internal transcribed spacer 2, and large subunit ribosomal RNA". The stretch from base 1 to 120 matches the Rfam family "5.8S ribosomal RNA", at positions 35 to 154 of the family's 154-position model. The record is from RNAcentral.